CGCCAGCAGCCGCGGUAAGACGUAGGAUGCGAGCGUUGUUCGGAAUUAUUGGGCGUAAAGCGUGCGUAGGCGGCUUGUUAAGUCUGGUGUGAAAGCUAGGGGCUCAACCCCUGUGUUGCACUGGAAACUGGCAGGCUUGAGUGCGGUAGGGGAAGGUGGAAUUCCGAGUGUAGCGGUGAAAUGCGUAGAUAUUCGGAAGAACACCGGUGGCGAAGGCGACCUUCUGGGCCGCCACUGACGCUGAGGCACGAAAGCGUGGGGAGCAAACGGGAUUAGAUACCCCGGUAGUCCACGCUGUAAACGAUGGUCACUAGGUGUUGCGGGUAUCGACCCCCGCAGUGCCGUAGCUAACGCGUUAAGUGACCCGCCUGGGGAGUACGGUCGCAAGACUGAAACUCAAAGGAAUUGACGGGGGCCCGCACA
This 423-nucleotide ribosomal RNA is filed under the name uncultured bacterium. RNAcentral's name for it is "bacterial SSU rRNA". It matches the Rfam family "Bacterial small subunit ribosomal RNA", at positions 506 to 927 of the family's 1533-position model. The record is from RNAcentral.